Non-coding RNA from Budorcas taxicolor (takin), 423 nucleotides. The record is from the annotation of a RefSeq genome assembly. NCBI's taxonomy places the organism in Eukaryota, Metazoa, Chordata, Mammalia, Artiodactyla, Bovidae.
AUGCUGUGGGUCCCAGCACUCCUUCUGAUUUUCCUGGCUCCUGUCACACAGGUAUCUUCCAACAUGGAAGAGGACAAGUUGUCAGUCAUGAGGGCGACUGGGUCAUCUGUUGUAAUCGAUUGUGAUCUUACACAAAACUAUAUCCACUGGUACAAAUUCCAGGAGGAAACUGUACCCCGACGCCUUCUCUACUAUGAUGUCUACUACUCAAAGGUUGUAUUGGACUCAGGAAUCAGUGAAGGGAAAUACCACGUUUACAAAGGCACAGGGAAGAGCUACACGCUCGUAAUCUCAAACUUGCAAGAAAGUGAUUCUGGCACGUACUACUGUGCUGUCUGGGAGAAGCACAUUGGUUUAGACUUCCUUUACACUGCACUGGAAAUUUUGCUUGUGGCUGCCAAAACAGCCCUGAUACACAGAUAG